This 89-nucleotide transfer RNA is filed under the name Nitrospirota bacterium. RNAcentral describes it as "tRNA-Leu". It matches the Rfam family "tRNA". From Rfam's summary of the family: Transfer RNA (tRNA) molecules are approximately 80 nucleotides in length. Their secondary structure includes four short double-helical elements and three loops (D, anti-codon, and T loops). Further hydrogen bonds mediate the characteristic L-shaped molecular structure. tRNAs have two regions of fundamental functional importance: the anti-codon, which is responsible for specific mRNA codon recognition, and the 3' end, to which the tRNAs corresponding amino acid is attached (by aminoacyl-tRNA synthetases). tRNAs cope with the degeneracy of the genetic code in two manners: having more than one tRNA (with a specific anti-codon) for a particular amino acid; and 'wobble' base-pairing, i.e. permitting non-standard base-pairing at the 3rd anti-codon position. The record is from RNAcentral. Lineage: Bacteria; Pseudomonadati; Nitrospirota.
GCCGAAGUGGUGAAAUUGGUAGACACGCUAGAUUCAGGUUCUAGUGGGCUUUACGGCCCGUGGGAGUUCGAGUCUCCCCUUCGGCACCA